RNAcentral lists this transfer RNA (78 nucleotides) under Microbulbifer sp. ZGT114. RNAcentral describes it as "tRNA-Leu". RNAcentral also lists the same sequence under 1 other name. The record is from RNAcentral. Lineage: Bacteria; Pseudomonadati; Pseudomonadota; Gammaproteobacteria; Cellvibrionales; Microbulbiferaceae.
GUCAGGCUGGCGAAAUUGGUAGACGCGCGUGCUUCAAACGUAGAUCCAUUCCCGGUUCAAGUCCGGUGCCGGGCACCA